UCCAUCGCGAGGUGGAAUCUGAAGGAAGCCGGCGGCAAAUCUCCGGUCUGAGGAACACGAACUUCAUAUAAGGCUAACGUACGUUGGAUGAGACUGCGCAACAAGUCAAAGUCCUUACUGCCGAAGGCGU
Paenibacillus sp. Soil522 is the source of this 130-nucleotide non-coding RNA. The record is from Rfam. NCBI's taxonomy places the organism in Bacteria, Bacillati, Bacillota, Bacilli, Caryophanales, Paenibacillaceae.